GGGCGGCGGGGCCUAUACAUGCAAGUCGAGCGGACAGAUGGGAGCUUGCUCCCUGAUGUUAGCGGCGGACGGGUGACUACUCGUGGGUAACCUGCCUGUAAGACUGGGAUAACUCCGGGAAACCGGGGCUAAUACCGGAUGGUUGUCUGAACCGCAUGGUUCAGACAUAAAAGGUGGCUUCGGCUACCACUUACAGAUGGACCCGCGGCGCAUUAGCUAGUUGGUGAGGUAACGGCUCACCAAGGCGACGAUGCGUAGCCGACCUGAGAGGGUGAUCGGCCACACUGGGACUGAGACACGGCCCAGACUCCUACGGGAGGCAGCAGUAGGGAAUCUUCCGCAAUGGACGAAAGUCUGACGGAGCAACGCCGCGUGAGUGAUGAAGGUUUUCGGAUCGUAAAGCUCUGUUGUUAGGGAAGAACAAGUGCCGUUCAAAUAGGGCGGAAAAUUGACGGUACCUAAUUUAUUUUUUCGGCUAACUACGUGCCAGCAGCCGCGGUAAUACGUAGGUGGCAAGCGUUGUCCGGAAUUAUUGGGCGUAAAGGGCUCGCAGGCGGUUUCUUAAGUCUGAUGUGAAAGCCCCCGGCUCAACCGGGGAGGGUCAUUGGAAACUGGGGAACUUGAGUGCAGAAGAGGAGAGUGGAAUUCCACGUGUAGCGGUGAAAUGCGUAGAGAUGUGGAGGAACACCAGUGGCGAAGGCGACUCUCUGGUCUGUAACUGACGCUGAGGAGCGAAAGCGUGGGGAGCGAACAGGAUUAGAUACCCUGGUAGUCCACGCCGUAAACGAUGAGUGCUAAGUGUUAGGGGGGUUUUCCGCCCCCUUAGG
RNAcentral lists this ribosomal RNA (827 nucleotides) under Bacillus amyloliquefaciens. RNAcentral describes it as "bacterial SSU rRNA". It matches the Rfam family "Bacterial small subunit ribosomal RNA", at positions 37 to 844 of the family's 1533-position model. The record is from RNAcentral. Lineage: Bacteria; Bacillati; Bacillota; Bacilli; Caryophanales; Bacillaceae.